AUUGAACGCUGGCGGCAUGCUUUACACAUGCAAGUCGAACGGUAACAGGCCGCAAGGUGCUGACGAGUGGCGAACGGGUGAGUAAUGCAUCGGAACGUGCCCAGUCGUGGGGGAUAACGCAGCGAAAGCUGCGCUAAUACCGCAUACGAUCUAUGGAUGAAAGCGGGGGACCGUAAGGCCUCGCGCGAUUGGAGCGGCCGAUGUCAGAUUAGGUAGUUGGUGGGGUAAAGGCUCACCAAGCCAACGAUCUGUAGCUGGUCUGAGAGGACGACCAGCCACACUGGGACUGAGACACGGCCCAGACUCCUACGGGAGGCAGCAGUGGGAAUUUUGGACAAUGGCGCAAGCCUGAUCCAGCAAUGCCGCGUGCAGGAAGAAGGCCUCGG
This 386-nucleotide ribosomal RNA is filed under the name uncultured bacterium. Its description in RNAcentral is "bacterial SSU rRNA". It matches the Rfam family "Bacterial small subunit ribosomal RNA", at positions 29 to 420 of the family's 1533-position model. The record is from RNAcentral.